RNAcentral lists this ribosomal RNA (141 nucleotides) under Acinetobacter baumannii. RNAcentral describes it as "partial 16S ribosomal RNA". It matches the Rfam family "Bacterial small subunit ribosomal RNA", at positions 1386 to 1533 of the family's 1533-position model. Lineage: Bacteria; Pseudomonadati; Pseudomonadota; Gammaproteobacteria; Moraxellales; Moraxellaceae. The record is from RNAcentral.
CACACCGCCCGUCACACCACGGAAGUCGUUCACACCCGAAGUCCCGCUAAGGCGGCCUAAGGCGGGGGCGAUGACUGGGGUGAAGUCGUAACAAGGUAGCCGUAUCGGAAGGUGCGGCUGGAUCACCUCCUUUCUAAGGAG